RNAcentral lists this long non-coding RNA (1136 nucleotides) under Vulpes vulpes (red fox). RNAcentral's name for it is "lncRNA (ENSVVUG00000021755.1)". The record is from RNAcentral. Lineage: Eukaryota; Metazoa; Chordata; Mammalia; Carnivora; Canidae.
AUACACCUGAAACUAACACUACACUAUUUGUUAACUAACUGGAAUCUAAAAACGUGAAAAAUAAUAAAAAGCAAAACAAAAACCAAAAACCUAGUAACCCUGAAAUAGGAAGAUAGUAUAAUUUGUGCUCUGUAGUUUUCAAGCAUGACUCUUGGACACUCCUAGAUAUCCCACGAGUAAAUAAAGUGUCUUUAAUAAAUAUAUCCUUUUUCUUUUAGCUAGCUAAUGUGGAUUCUGUUCUCUGCAACUGAGAGCCCCAGUGAUAUAAUAACUGCAGAGAAAAAAGAGAAAAAGUGGUAAGGUUCAUGCUGGACAUGACCCUGUAAUUAAAUAAUUACCAAAUGUGUAUGAGUACUGGAAAUACAUAUUGUUGCCCUGGUGUUAUUCUUUAUUACUAUGUUUAUUUCCUUAUUUAGAUUUAAAGUGCCUCAAAGACAAGGACAUUAUCUUCUCUCAUCAGAGAAGAUCAGUAUUUAAGAACAUGGGCUCUUCCACCAGACUGCCUCAUAUGAAUCCUGUCUGCCCUAUUUCUUAGCUGUAGGACCUUCUCUGUUCCUUAUAAAUGUUCAGAUUCGAUGUGAUAAUAACCAUAAAAAGUUUAUCACAGUCCCACCAAUGUGGCAAGACUUAACAAAGACCAGCAGUAAUUAUGAUCACAUGACAACUGUAUAGAACUCAUUAUAAUGACAGCAAAAGAGUGAAAAAGUGCAUGGAAAUCACCUCCAAUCCUGUAAUAUUAUAGGAUGUGGGGAUUUUUCCCUGAAGGUUUUUUCUUGUUCUCUGAUGGAGCAAUGGAUGAUGUCUGCUGUCACCCAUUCUUGCCCUUGAAGGGGAGGGGAUGUCUUCAACAACAUGGAGACACUGAAGUUAUGCUUUGGGAAGUGACCAAUAUAAGCAAAGGAGUUUUGUUUGCCUUAUCUAGGUGCUGUACACUGAAGAAUUUAAGCCUCUGGCUUUGUUUUCUUGGGCUAGAAACAGGGGAAGAUCUUGCUGCCUUGAUCACUGGGGCAGCAAAGAUACUCUGAGGAUAGGGCAGAGAGCACAAAAGGAAAAAGAACUUUCCACUGUAAAUUCCUGGUCAAUUCUGUACGGUCUGAGGGGCAACCUCCAUAGCAACAAUAAAUGAAUGUUUGAAC